RNAcentral lists this ribosomal RNA (433 nucleotides) under uncultured bacterium. RNAcentral's name for it is "partial 16S ribosomal RNA". It matches the Rfam family "Bacterial small subunit ribosomal RNA", at positions 29 to 507 of the family's 1533-position model. The record is from RNAcentral.
AACGAACGCUGGCGGCAUGCCUAAUACAUGCAAGUCGAACGAGACCUUCGGGUCUAGUGGCGCACGGGUGCGUAACGCGUGGGAACCUGCCCUUAGGUUCGGAACAACUCCCCGAAAGGGGUGCUAAUACCGGAUAAUGUCUUCGGACCAAAGAUUUAUCGCCUUUGGAUGGGCCCGCGUUGGAUUAGCUAGUUGGUAGGGUAAAAGCCUACCAAGGCGACGAUCCAUAGCUGGUCUGAGAGGAUGAUCAGCCACACUGGGACUGAGACACGGCCCAGACUCCUACGGGAGGCAGCAGUGGGGAAUAUUGGACAAUGGGCGAAAGCCUGAUCCAGCAAUGCCGCGUGAGUGAUGAAGGCCUUAGGGUUGUAAAGCUCUUUUACCCGGGAUGAUAAUGACAGUACCGGGAGAAUAAGCUCCGGCUAACUCCGUG